GUGGGGGAACGUUUCGAAAGGAACGCUAAUACCGCAUACGUCCUACGGGAGAAAGCAGGGGACCUUCGGGCCUUGCGCUAUCAGAUGAGCCUAGGUCGGAUUAGCUAGUUGGUGAGGUAAUGGCUCACCAAGGCGACGAUCCGUAACUGGUCUGAGAGGAUGAUCAGUCACACUGGAACUGAGACACGGUCCAGACUCCUACGGGAGGCAGCAGUGGGGAAUAUUGGACAAUGGGCGAAAGCCUGAUCCAGCCAUGCCGCGUGUGUGAAGAAGGUCUUCGGAUUGUAAAGCACUUUAAGUUGGGAGGAAGGGCAGUAAGUUAAUACCUUGCUGUUUUGACGUUACCGACAGAAUAAGCACCGGCUAACUCUGUGCCAGCAGCCGCGGGUAAUACGAA
Molecule: ribosomal RNA, 397 nt
Filed under: Pseudomonas putida
Lineage: Bacteria; Pseudomonadati; Pseudomonadota; Gammaproteobacteria; Pseudomonadales; Pseudomonadaceae
Description: bacterial SSU rRNA
Rfam family: Bacterial small subunit ribosomal RNA
Source: RNAcentral